RNAcentral lists this ribosomal RNA (497 nucleotides) under uncultured bacterium. RNAcentral's name for it is "partial 16S ribosomal RNA". It matches the Rfam family "Bacterial small subunit ribosomal RNA", at positions 28 to 507 of the family's 1533-position model. The record is from RNAcentral.
GAUGAACGCUGGCGGCGUGCCUAAUACAUGCAAGUCGAGCGAACAGACGAGGAGCUUGCUCCUCUGACGUUAGCGGCGGACGGGUGAGUAACACGUGGAUAACCUACCUAUAAGACUGGGAUAACUUCGGGAAACCGGAGCUAAUACCGGAUAAUAUAUUGAACCGCAUGGUUCAAUAGUGAAAGACGGUUUUGCUGUCACUUAUAGAUGGAUCCGCGCCGCAUUAGCUAGUUGGUAAGGUAACGGCUUACCAAGGCGACGAUGCGUAGCCGACCUGAGAGGGUGAUCGGCCACACUGGAACUGAGACACGGUCCAGACUCCUACGGGAGGCAGCAGUAGGGAAUCUUCCGCCAUGGGCGAAAGCCUGACGGAGCAACGCCGCGUGAGUGAUGAAGGUCUUCUGAUCGUAAAACUCUGUUAUUAGGGAAGAACAAAUGUGUAAGUAACUAUGCACGUCUUGACGGUACCUAAUCAGAAAGCCACGGCUAACUACGUG